RNAcentral lists this ribosomal RNA (493 nucleotides) under uncultured bacterium. RNAcentral's name for it is "partial 16S ribosomal RNA". It matches the Rfam family "Bacterial small subunit ribosomal RNA", at positions 28 to 506 of the family's 1533-position model. The record is from RNAcentral.
GACGAACGCUGGCGGCGUGCUUAACACAUGCAAGUCGAACGGAAAGGCCUGCUUUCCCUUGUGGAUUGCGGGUACUCGAGUGGCGAACGGGUGAGUAACACGUGAGUGAUCUGCCCCCAACUUGGGUAUAAGCCUGGGAAACUGGGUCUAAUUCCCGAUAGGACUGCAGGGUGGUGCCUGUGGUGGAGAACGAUUUUCUAGUGGUUGGGGAUGAGCUCGCGGCCUAUCAGCUUGUUGGUGGGGUAAUGGCCUACCGAGGCGGCGACGGGUAGCCGGCCUGAGAGGGUGGACGGCCACAUUGGGACUGAGAUACGGCCCAGACUCCUACGGGAGGCAGCAGUGGGGAAUAUUGCACAAUGGGCGGAAGCCUGAUGCAGCGACGCCGCGUGGGGGAUGACGGCCUUCGGGUUGUAAACUCCUUUCGACCGCGAGGAAGCCACCUGGUUGGAAGGGUGGUGACGGUAGUGGUAGAAGAAGCACCGGCUAACUACGU